UGCAAAAAACACACUUGAAAGCUUUCCGUAUUGAGCAGCGAAUAGCAAAGAGAAAUCAUCCUAAACAGAUCUGUUCCAAUGAUGAUAUUUAAUAGCCCAAAGUGAUAUCAGGAAGAACAUAGGACAUUCUCCCCUUUUUUGAGAGCCCUGGAAUUCUUGCUCCAGUCAGUAGUUUGCGUUCUUCUCAUGGACCUUUCUGAUCUCCACAGUUCUAUGCUCUGGCACAGGUUUAUCUGCACCAACUUCUCACAUGCUGUCUCCUCACCUGCAUUAAUUGGAACGCAGCCUAGAUCCUGACGGACAGGAUUCAUUCCCUCAUACAGGCGAGCUGAGAUACAUUGUCGUAAUUCGUGCAGAUGUGGAGCCCCUUCGUGAAUCUCUCUGGGUUUAAGGCUUCAGCUGUGUCCUAUGGCCACAAAUGGAUAAACUUAGGAAUAUUGAUUACUGUUUGUCCUUACGCAGCAGAUGACUCCAGCGUAGUUCCUGCACUGCCGGUUCCAGGAUGACCUGAGGUGUACGUUGUUCACAGAAAAUAGCAUCUCCUACCUGUAUUGUCCUCAGAGGCAAUUGGAAUUCAGUGCAAGCUUAGAUUCUCACAAAACCUGUCUGCAUUUGGGUGUAGUCAUCUCUAGAAAGAGCAAACAGACUUCUUAAUGUGACCCAAGAGAUAUUCCCAGAAGAACAGAGUAAGUGGAGAAGGCAGGUGUCCGUGCAGCAACCGAUGCCCCUGAGCAGCUUCCAAAGCUCAGGUCCCAGGAGGAGUUUGCUGCUUUCCCUCAGAGCUCUUUCCAACCAGGAUUGUGGCACCUGCAUUUAUCCUCUGUUAUGGCUCCUUGUAUUGCAGAGCAGCACCAGCCCAGGAAGCCAACAAGUGCUGGGCUGCUUUUUCUAAACUCUCAUUUUACCCUGUUGUUUCUUCGUUGUCUUCUUUGUAAGGCAGUGAAUUAAAUAUUUACAAAAGUAAUUACAGAUCCUGCAGUCAAUAGCAAGAGGAAAAGGCAGAACAUAAAGCUGAAUGUAAUCAGAGUUGAGUGGCUUUGUGCUGAGCUGUGGGUUUGUUUGGAGGCUUUCACAGUGUCCAAAGCAGCGUGCCAGGCUGCAGCCACCCAAGCCACGUGUGGUCAGAAGCUGUCUCCUUGUCCCCUUAGAAAAUGGGAAAGAGCUGGAUUAACUGCCUCCUCACAUCCUCUUUCUUCCACGUGCUGGUGCCCACAGCAGCAAUGUGGUUCUCCUCAGUCUUACAGGGUUGUCCUCAGUCCUGGGGAUCUGUGAUGUGGUGCUGCUUCUCAGCUUCUGCAGUAAUUCCUAAUGUUUACCAGGAUCUGCCUGCAGGAGGGCUGGGAGGGGCUCUUCCUCAGGGAGUGCAGGGACGGGACAAGGGGAAUGGUUUGUUAGUCAAAGAGGGGAGAUUGAGAUGAGAUCUUAGGAAGAAACGUUUUCUGUGAGGGUGGGGAGGCCCUGGCCCAGGUUGCCCAGAGCAGUGGUGGCUGCCCCAUCCCUGGAGGGGUUCCAGGCCGGGUUGGAUGAGGCUUGGAGCCCCUGAUCCAGUGGGAGGUGUCCCUGCCCAUGGCAGGGGGUGGGACUGGAUGGGCUUUGAGGUCCCUUCCAACCCAAACCAUUCUAUGAUCACAGCUAGGACUGCACUGAGACUGAAAUCAGAGAGGCAGAGAGAACUACUCUCUGAAGGUGAUUUAAAAGCUGAAGGGACAGGGUGGAACUGUGGGCCAAAAGCGAGUGGGCGGAGUAGCAGAUGGAUGUCCAGGCUGUGGCUCAGCUGGCACUGCAUCUUGGGCAGCCUUCUGUGUUUGUGUUGCUUCUGAUUUAUGUUUUUCUGUAGAUGGACAAGGACAUGAGAAGUGGCAUAGAAGAAAGUGAUAAGGAUGAAGAAAGAGAAAAGAUAAGGGAAAAGGAGAAAAACGGGGUCACAUAUUUCAGCAACGUCACAAGCAACGAUUGUAUCCAGAGGAACGGGUCUGAGCCCCUGAAGAACAGAACUCAUCUCACUAAUUGCCACGUCAAGGAAAGAUAGCUGCUGACGUGCGUCUGAUCUGGUCUGGAACGAGUCCAGGGCACCGUCUUUAGAAACAGUUUUGUUUGUUGUGUAGGUAAAACGGAGUGCAAUUACAGUAUCUUAGCAGAAUUCCUGCUUCCUCUAAACCAAAUUGUUUAUGGUCAGUGAUGCUUGAAGGGAGAUUUUGGUCUUUCUUCAAUAAAAGCUUACUGUAGGUUGUAGCCUUGAAGCAGAUAGAAAGGGAUCAAAGUUGUUUCACUUGUAUUAGGUUGUGCCAUAGUCGAUAAAUGUGUUAAUCUUGAAAAAUACUUUUUUUUUUUUAAAGGAAAAAAGGUGGAUAAACCCUAGCAAUGUCAAAUCUCACCCACCUGAUGUUGUUUGUAGGAAUCUGGUCAGUCUCGGUCAGCCUCUGGGGGCCCUGGCCUGUUGUCAGUAACAAUGCCACUAAGGAGGAGGUGUGAAACUCAAUACGGGGACAGGUCUUUUGAGAAGACAGGUGCCCUUGGGCCACUCAGGAAAUCAAAACUGAGCGUAGCGGAAUGAAAGCUUUGAAAAGACAUAGGAAAAACUUUCUUCUCAAAGGAGAUGCUGCUGUGUGCCAUGUAAGCGGUUCUGUAAGGGAAUGGAUCUCAGGCCCUUCUCUUGUCAGUGUUAUUGCCACAGAGGUGGGAGCUCCAAAGCCCAAACUGCAGAACACCCACCCAAAUUGUAGAUGGAAGACCUGGAAAAUCCAAGCAGUUGUGUCUCAGCUGUCAGGUCAUCCUUUAAACCUGACUUGGAAGGAAACGCAGUUGGAAGAAGAGAGGUGACAAAACACUACAUAAUCUAGAAGCCAACACUGAGUGAGUGCUCAUGUUUCCACCCAAUGUGAUUGGCACAACGUGAAAUGUUUAUAGGGUCAGCUUGUGGCAAGAAGCAACACAUAUGCCCUGUUCUCAGAGGAGAAGGGAUCCAGAGAAGAUCUGCUGAACCUUAUGGAAUAAUGCUUUAACGUGGCCUUUAACUCCAGGGCCGUUGCCCAGGUGUGUCAAGGAGAGCAAGUUUAAAGCAGUAGUCCAUGAGGUGAUGACGCAGUUGGGAUUCAAUUGGUUUGGUGUCCUGUCUCUUAUAUCCGGUGUAGUCUUAGACUUUGGAUUCUACAAUCCCUUGAAAGAGUUAAAUGAAUAUGAUGUGAAUUUCUCUUUUAAAAAUCAAUUAAUCCAUGAAACCAAAGGUUUAGCAGAUUCACUGUAGUGAGCACAGAGACUCAGGCUGUUGAGGCCAUGCAGGCACUUCCCAGUAUGUGCCCAGUAAGGGCCGGUGCUAACUGGGGGACAUGGACCAAGGAAGUGCCUGAUUUGAGGACGUGGUACACAUGUUUAAAAUUAAAAGGCAAGUGACAGCAUAGAAGGACAAGAGGGGGGUUGAGCAAUGCAUCUGAGCUUUGAUCUCAGCUUAUAUGUGCUCAGCUUGGCUUUGGUCUGGGACCUCUAACUUGGAGGGAAGGCAGCUCUGAAGGAUCGGUGGGCUCUUACCUGUUUGAUCCCCUGUUGAGAGGGACAGUGAGCUUUAAACUUAAGGAAAUGCCAAGCAGGAUGAAGACUGUGCACCUUUCCCUGAGCUGUGAUACUGUUGUGCAUCACUUCUGUCUCUGUGCCCUGGCAGGCAGCCAAUCCCCUGGCUCAGCACCCCAAAAGCAGCCCCAGCUCACCCGUCAGAGGCUGCAAACAAGGUUCCCUCCAGAGACGCCAGUGCACUCGUCCCCACAGCCCUGAUCCUAGGAGAGCAGGAGACGCCGAGCUCUCAGGUGGGCACCCCUCGGGCACAUCUCCAGGCUGUCCCGCAGCAGCAGGCAGUGUCCUCAGCCCUGGGCUCGCUACAGGAAAGGCGGCUGAGGUUUCCCGCACCCCAGCUCUAUGAGGAUGCAUCCGGCUGUCAGGCAGCACUGCUCAGCACCCAGGCCCGUGUGGCAGAGCUGGAAAGCCAGGUCCGGACACUGAAGCUGGAGCAGGCGCAGCACAGACUGUUGCUGGAGAGUCUCCAGCAGCGGCACCGCGAGGACCUAGAACUCCUCGAGAGUGCCCACAGGAGCCGGGUGAAGGUGAUGGAGGAGACCUACGGGCAGCGGGAGGAGCGGCUGCGGCAGGAGAAGGAGCAGCUGGUGGCUCAGCUGCUAUCGCAGAGCCGGGAUGCAGAGCAGGCACGAGCGGAACUAGUGGCACAGCACCAGCAACGCCUCGCCACGCUGGAGCAGCAGAGCGCACUGGAGCUGGAGCGGCUGCGGGAACUGCAGAGGGUUUCUGUCCAAGAGAUGCACAAAGACCAUGAAGAGCAGCUCCAGCGGCUGAAGCAGCUGAAAGAUCAGGAGAUCGACACAGUGACUAGUGCUGCUUCGCACGCCAGGUCUCUGAAUGGCGUCACUGAGCAGAUGGAGAAGUUCUCCAGUGACGUGCACAACCUUUUGCACAAGGUGGAGGCCAUGCACCACAGUACCUCCCAGGAGCUGGCCCUGGGGGCACAACAUCGCGACCAGCAGCUCAAGGUGCUCCAGGACUGGAUGUCACAGCAGCAGAGGGACAUGGAGGAGGAGCGGAGCCGGCUGCAGGAGGUGAUUGCCAGAAUGGAGACCAGGCUGGUUGGCAAACAUGAAUUAAUUGGGCAUAAAAGUUGCAGUGAAGAUCCUCAGUCGACAGAAGAUUCACAGCCUUGAUGUUGUAGGAAAAAUCCUCAGGGCGAUUCAGAGCCUGAAACUCUUCAGGCGCCCUCAUAUAAUGAAACUGUACCAGGUCAUCAGUACUCUAACUGACAUUUUCAUGGUGGUGGAAUACGUUUCAGGAGGAGAACUGCUUGAUUAUAUAUGUAAAAAUGGAAGGGUAAGAAGUAGUCAAACUCUACAAAUUAAUGACUUGCAUUCUGUUAUUGCUUUUGUAAUGUUCCUGUGACACUUGAAACUGAGGGACAGACGGGUUCUUUUGGGGGAUCCUUAGCAGAAUUAUAUAAAUAAAGCCUUAUUUUUUUUUUUAACAGGGUAUCAUGGUUAGUAUAGCACAGAAUUUCUGCAAACAGAAUCAAUGCAGUAUAAUUUACAAGUAGCAUAAUACAGAAUUUAUAAUAAAACUUAACAUUUGAUUUCUAAUCGCCUGGACCAUCUGCAGAUUGUGUCACAUCUUAAUACAUGGUUUACUAUAUCAAUAUAACAAUCGCAGUCUGGACUUAAUCCUGUGAAACAAUGAGUCACUCACUCGAUCCUGGAGGAAGGAGACAAUGGUGGUGACGUCCCUGGCCUUGGGAGGUUUCGGGUCUGGCUGUCUAGCAGCAAUCCUGGUCCAGGUUCCCCACUUCAGACUUGAUUUUAUGGCCAGUGCUCUCUGUGCUGUUACAUUUCCCUGUUCUGUGACGGGGUCAUCACCACCACCUGGUUGGCUGUGUACCUGGGGCCUUCGAGGCUGCUGAGGAAGGGGGUAAUGAGUCUGGCACGCAGGAACCUUGAGGCUGGUUGGGAAGGGAAAAAGAAAUCUGUUUGGUUGGUUUACUUGGUUCGCAGGACCUUCACAGCCUGAUAACGUGGGAAAGGGAAGAAAUACAUGCCUCAGUCACAGAAUGACCGUUUGCCUCAUGAAAUGGUAUGAGCUGUGCUGACCACAUUACCAGGCACCAGGAGCAGGCGGUACUGUCACAUUCAGUUGUAUCGAGGUUUUUUUGUAUGGAUUCAGUGUUAACUUUUGAGCUGGCAAUUAAAAUAUUCUUUUAAGACUGUAAGUUUUUGUGUAAGUAAAAAGGGCUGUAUGUUAAUACAUUUCAGAUCUUUAUGUAUGACUUCAUCACAGCAUUUUUUCUCUCUACUGAUACUGAUAAGUUAAUUUGCCAUUACUGGGUACAAAUUGGAGGAAUAUGUAUCCAUCUGAAGACUGUUUCUUCAGUAUAACCCAUUACUGGAAAGCUACCAUUGUGCCCUUACUAUCCUCUUCUACUGGCAGAACAGUUUAUGUGGAAGCUCUGAAGUCGCUUUUGACAGACGGUUUAGAUAGCCAGGAUACUUUUAGUUAGUUAGAACAAACCUUGACAUGGGUCGGGCGUGUGUGUAGGAAAUGCCCAGAUAGAUCUGCUGUUUGUGGCUAGCUGCUAACAGCUUAAGCAGCAUCUAAAAUUUGUCGCUUCUGUGCUGCAUGUCAGCAGCAGCUUUUGUCAACUUAACUCUUAUGGUAUGGUUAAAUAUCAAAAUUCAUUGAUAUUUCACUUAGAUAAAGUUAAUGGUUGGGUGCUAAUGUUUCUAAUUACCGAGUAUGUAACAUCUGCCUAAAGCAUUUCAAAAGCAUGAUUAAGAAAUGUCAAUGAAUUUCUGAGUUGGUGGGCAUGUUUUAUUUUGGUUAUUUUAGAGUUGUGGUACAAACAAAAUUAUGUAAACUCUGAAGCUUUCUGCUACAGGUUCUGAUCAUCUGCUCUAUGAAGUGUCAAAACUAAAAGUGAUAAACUUAGACCACCAAAAAUUUCCUUUGGUUCACAUAAAUGAAAAACCACUUGUCUUCCAUGGUCUGAUAAUUGUUUAAAAUGUUUGUCUGCCUUAGCUUGAUUGGAAUGCAGGUAGACGUGUGUUCCAGCAAAUCCUUUCUGGCAUGGCUUGCUGUCGCAGGCAUACGGUGGUAUGCAGAGAUCCGAAGGCUGAAAAUGUGCUGCUUGAUGCACACAUGAAUGCCAAGAGAGCUG
Cuculus canorus (common cuckoo) is the source of this 6694-nucleotide RNA transcript. It is a transcript of the gene named fas-binding factor 1 homolog, with no coding region annotated. The record is from RefSeq and is a predicted model, not a curated record. The transcript has 11 exons. NCBI's taxonomy places the organism in Eukaryota, Metazoa, Chordata, Aves, Cuculiformes, Cuculidae.